Molecule: ribosomal RNA, 252 nt
Filed under: uncultured bacterium
Lineage: Bacteria
Description: partial 16S ribosomal RNA
Rfam family: Bacterial small subunit ribosomal RNA
Source: RNAcentral
ACGUAGGGUGCGAGCGUUAAUCGGAAUUACUGGGCGUAAAGCGUGCGCAGGCGGUUAUGUAAGACAGGUGUGAAAUCCCCGGGCUCAACCUGGGAACUGCGCUUGUGACUGCAUAACUUGAGUGUGGCAGAGGGGGGUGGAAUUCCACGUGUAGCAGUGAAAUGCGUAGAGAUGUGGAGGAACACCGAUGGCGAAGGCAGCCCCCUGGGUCAACACUGACGCUCAUGCACGAAAGCGUGGGGAGCAAACAGG